RNAcentral lists this long non-coding RNA (640 nucleotides) under Marmota monax (woodchuck). The record is from RNAcentral. Lineage: Eukaryota; Metazoa; Chordata; Mammalia; Rodentia; Sciuridae.
AGUAAUUCUCAAUAUUUUAACAUAUUCUAAGUUGAAUGUAAAUUUAAUAUUCAUUUAGGAAAAAUGUUAGUGGGCCCAUUUGAUAAUCUUUGAAAAAUAUUCUAAAAUAAUUUAUUUUUGUAUGUUAAUAUAUAGAAUACGUAGUUUACUAAUGUUAUUUAUGACCUUGAAAUAGAACUGGGUCAAAAUGAGUAUUUUCAACCCAAACUCUGAAUAAAAUAUCUACAUCCAUAGUUGGAGUAACCACAAGAAGUUUUGUAGAGAAGGUGGGGUCUUGAAGGUUAGCGAAUAGAGAAGACGUGAAUAAAUACAUGUGUGAAGAUAAGAAUAUGCAUGCUAUGUUAAAGGACCAGUGAGUGGAUCAAGUUAAUUCUCCCUAGUAAAUGGUGUGCAGCAGAGAAGCAAAAUUUCCCAGUUAUUUAUAAAGGAGACAGGCCUUCAAAAACUAGGUGUUUUGAAGUGUUAGCUGGUAAUGGCUCUAAUCAGGACAGAGAAGAUGUGAGAAAUGAACCUCACAAGAGUACAGAGUAAAUUAAAGAAUGUUUAAUGUUUUAUAAUUGGAUUAAAUGUGUGCUUGUGCUGCACAGUUAUUUUUUUUUUCAGUAGGAAAAUGAUACUUACCCCCACUUUACUUAUAGCC